RNAcentral lists this ribosomal RNA (497 nucleotides) under uncultured bacterium. Its description in RNAcentral is "partial 16S ribosomal RNA". It matches the Rfam family "Bacterial small subunit ribosomal RNA", at positions 28 to 507 of the family's 1533-position model. The record is from RNAcentral.
GAUGAACGCUGGCGGCGUGCCUAAUACAUGCAAGUCGAGCGAACGGACGAGAAGCUUGCUUCUCUGAUGUUAUCGGCGGACGGGUGAGUAACACGUGGAUAACCUACCUAUAAGACUGGGAUAACUUCGGGAAACCGGAGCUAAUACCGGAUAAUAUUUUGAACCGCAUGGUUCAAAAGUGAAAGACGGUCUUGCUGUCACUUAUAGAUGGAUCCGCGCUGCAUUAGCUAGUUGGUAAGGUAACGGCUUACCAAGGCAACGAUGCAUAGCCGACCUGAGAGGGUGAUCGGCCACACUGGAACUGAGACACGGUCCAGACUCCUACGGGAGGCAGCAGUAGGGAAUCUUCCGCAAUGGGCGAAAGCCUGACGGAGCAACGCCGCGUGAGUGAUGAAGGUCUUCGGAUCGUAAAACUCUGUUAUUAGGGAAGAACAUAUGUGUAAGUAACUGUGCACAUCUUGACGGUGCCUAAUCAGAAAGCCACGGCUAACUACGUG